AAAAGAAACUGUGUAAUUUUUGAUGUAACAUUGAUGCAAUAAAUCACGACAUGCAAUAAUGACUGGAUGAUUAUUUCUGUUAUUGCUAAAAGGAAAUCUUUCCAAGGCUUGGAGGGCACUUUUAGCGUCGGUUAAAAUUAUUGAGCUUUUUAACUUCAUUAUUAAAAUGUACUCCAGAGACUUCAGCAGACCAAAACAUUCUCCAGUAAAUACUGAAGUCUCUGGAGGUAAUUUUAUUUUCUGUACAAUGCCAAACUGUUGAUGGAAAACGCCAAUUCCCACACAUUUAUCGGAGCCGGGUUUGGAAGAAUCACUAAAAAUUAAAUGGCAAUGUUUCCAUCGGUUGUCACUGUCAAUAAUAUUAAUAAAUUUGGCAUUGGCAGAAGGAUCUUGUUUACAUAUAUCGAAAUCAAAUAAAAUAGAAGGAUUUAAUGUUAAGGCAUCAUAGUUAACACAAAAUAUAGGAAGGAAUUGUGAUCUAUGUGUUGGAGCUUGAAGAGCUAAGUAUUUUUGGAAACUAAUAAUAAGGCAUGGCGGCGAUUUAUGAUCCCAGUACGGAUAAUCCAUACAUUCCAACAGAGACCGUAACUUAGAGUAAAGAGGAUGAUUAUAGACUUGGAAUGCUCUAAACAGGAACCUGUCACAAAGAAAUUGUCGUCUGAGGUGCAGGGGAGCUUCAGAACAUUCGACCUGCAAAGCGUUAAUAGGGCUUGAACGCAUAGCCCCAGCAAUUAUUCUCAGAGCCUUAGACUGUAUAAUGUUUAACUUAUGGAGAGCUACUGCAUUACAGGGUUCAAGUAUAAAUGUUCCAUAGUCUAAAAUACUUCUUAUUAGGGCAUUAUAUAGAAGCUUUAAAGAGAAAGGGUGGGCUCCCCACCAAACUCCAGAGAGGCAACGCAAUAUAUUUAGAAUCUUCUCACAUUUGGCACUUACAUAUUUGCAAUGAGAGCUUCCUGUAAGUCUUGAGUCUAAAAUUACUCCAAGAAAUGUUGCUUCACUUUUAACGGAAACUCUAAUAUUAUUAUAAAAUACAGACACUGAUGGAGGAAGUCUCAUACGUGAAAAUAAGACUAUCAUACUUUUAGCAACUGAAAGGCUUAGAGAGUUAUUGUCAAGCCAGACUUUUAGCAACUUAAGGGAAUAUGUCAUAGUAUCAGACAUGUUGUCAACAGAAUUACCUGAAAUAUAUAAGAGUAAAUCAUCUGCAUAUUGGAGUGUAUUAACUUUACCCUUAAGGGAGGCUUCCAGAUCAUGAGAAUAUAUAUUGUAAAGUAAGGGACUCAAAACUGAGCCCUGGGGUAAACCUUUCCAGGCAAUACGGGAUUGGUAGGAGCCUUCUGAUAUUACUUUAAGCAUUCUACCAGAGAGAAGAUUGAUAGUGAAGCUUAUAAAAAGUUGUGGGAUAUCCAAAUUAAUCAUUUUUUGUUUCAGAGUUGAAAGGUUGACAUUAUCAUAGGCUGCAGACACAUCUAAGAAUGCAGCUAACACAGGCUUAUUGUAUGAAAAUGCUAAUCUUAAGUCUGUCAUAAAAAUACUAAGACUAUCCAUAGUACACCUGCCUUUCCUAAAUCCAAACUGGUUUGGAGAUAGUAAUCCUUUACUCUCAACAAACCAUUCUAGUCUAUUCUUAACUAAAUGUUCAGAAAUUUUGGAGAUAACUGAAGCUAAUGCUAUUGGUCUGUAUGAUGAUGGAUCAUUAAUCGGUUUGUUGGGCUUAUGAAUUGGGAUAACUUCGUGAAUUUUCCAUGACGGAGGUAUAUUACCAGAUGCUAAGAUUGAAUUAAUUAAACUGAGAAAAUAAGAAAGGCAGGAGUCAUUUAGGUUUUGAAGAAAAGAAUAUGGAAUACCAUCACAACCUGGAGCUGAGUCCCUAAGUUUUGAAAGAACCCCUUUGAGUUCUGAAAGGCUAAAGGAAAUGAGUGAAUUGCUACUAUUAUGCUGGGAGAGGAGAGAAGGCUGAGAGUCAAAAGAAAUAUUAUCUAUAGAUGGGACAUAUGGUGGAGCUAAUUUGUCAAGAAACAAAUCAACUGUACUGCUAUCUAUAAAAUAAGACUUUGGAGGUUUAAAGGCGGAUCUGAAUCUCCGAAUAUUUUGCCAAACUUCUGAUGGAGAAAUGUCUGGUGAAAUUGAGGCACAAAAAGAUUUCCAGCCAUUGAAUCUUUUUUGUUUUAAUAAUUUACGUGUUUUAGUUAUAAGAUUGCUAAGAAUAUUAAAAUUUUGUGUUGUAGAAUUUUUCCUGUAAUUUCCUUCAGCUCUCUUUCUCUCAGCUACAGCAGCAGAACACUCACUGUCCCACCAAGGAGGUGAUGGAAUAUAACCAUUGCCACUAUUACUUUUAAUUGGAAAAACUUCCUCAGCAGCCUGAAGUAGGGCCCGUGUAAAAGCUUCAGCACAAAGAUGAUUAUUGCUGUCAUUUACUAGAGGAAAAAUCCAAAAUGUACAGGGUGAAUUGAUCCGGUUUGAUUUGUUUGUAAUAUUUUUUGGACAUGGACAACAUAAGGCGCUGGGUCUGACGCCUGGUAAAGCGACCUAGCAGCGCGAGGGUUACUUGGGAUAUUAUUGGAGUGAGCAGCUUCAUUAUGGUGGAUUUCAGUUUUAUCAUUAGAGUCAAGAACUUUAUGAAUAACAUUGUCUUUUAAAUUAUUAGAGGAAAUUGUCUUCUUUAAAUUUCUAACUGAGAUUCUCUUUCUUUUAACAUUUUUCUUGCUAUCCGAACAAUCAGUAUCUAUAAUGGAACCUUCCGUUUCCAUUCCCGACUGAUCUAUUGUAACUACAUGAGACACCUGGAGGGAUGUCCCUCCAGGGUCUUCGGGCUCCAACAUGAACACCAAGUGAAAAUUCCUAUCUACAUAUAAUACAAUUAAAUUACUUACCAACCAGGCGAAAGAAACUAAAAAUAUAAAUAAUCAACAAUAACUAGUAAUAUAUAUACACUCUACAACUUAACUGAUCCUGUAAUAUUAAAUUUAUUUAAUUUUCAAAAGUUUAGCCAAAAAAGGCGCCCGCCUAAUUCAACACUUCCCGCGCUUUUUU
This is a long non-coding RNA of Pieris napi, 3033 nucleotides long. RefSeq lists it as uncharacterized. Lineage: Eukaryota; Metazoa; Arthropoda; Insecta; Lepidoptera; Pieridae. The record is from RefSeq and is a predicted model, not a curated record. The transcript has 2 exons.